This 253-nucleotide ribosomal RNA is filed under the name uncultured bacterium. RNAcentral's name for it is "partial 16S ribosomal RNA". It matches the Rfam family "Bacterial small subunit ribosomal RNA", at positions 524 to 776 of the family's 1533-position model. The record is from RNAcentral.
UACGGAGAGUGCAAACGUUGUUCGGAUUCACUGGGCGUAAAGGGCACGUAGGCGGCUCGGCAAAUCGGUCGUGGAAUCCCGACGCUUACCGUCGGAACGGCGGCCGAAAAUACCGGGCUAGAGGGCGUGAGGGGUCACUGGGACUCCUGGUGAAGCGGUGAAAUGCGUAGAUAUCAGGAGGAACGCCGGAGGCGAAAGCGAGUGACUGGCGCGUUCCUGACGCUGAGGUGCGAAAGCUAGGGGAGCAAACAGG